GAAAUGCGAUAAGUAAUGUGAAUUGCAGAAUUCAGUGAAUCAUCGAAUCUUUGAACGCACAUUGCGCCCCGUGGUAUUCCGCGGGGCAUGCCUGUUCGAGCGUCAGUACAACACUCAAGCUCUGCUUGGUAUUGGGCCCCGUCCGUCUGGACCGGCCUUAAAAUCAGUGGCGGUGCCAUCGGGCUCUAAGCGUAGUAAUACUCCUCGCUACAGGGCCCCGGUGCGUGCUGGCCAGCAACCCCCAACUUUCUAAGUUUGACCUCGGAUCAGGUAGGGAUACCCGCUGAACUUAA
This 293-nucleotide unclassified non-coding RNA is filed under the name uncultured Xenopolyscytalum. Its description in RNAcentral is "sequence contains ITS1". The stretch from base 1 to 105 matches the Rfam family "5.8S ribosomal RNA", at positions 50 to 154 of the family's 154-position model. The record is from RNAcentral. Lineage: Eukaryota; Fungi; Ascomycota; Leotiomycetes; Helotiales.